UUUUAUGGAGAGUUUGAUCCUGGCUCAGGAUGAACGCUGGCGGCGUGCCUAAUACAUGCAAGUCGAGCGAACAGAUGAGGAGCUUGCUCCUCUGACGUUAGCGGCGGACGGGUGAGUAACACGUGGAUAACCUACCUAUAAGACUGGGAUAACUACGGGAAACCGGAGCUAAUACCGGAUAAUAUAUUGAACCGCAUGGUUCAAUAGUGAAAGACGGUUUUGCUGUCACUUAUAGAUGGAUCCGCGCCGCAUUAGCUAGUUGGUAAGGUAACGGCUUACCAAGGCAACGAUGCGUAGCCGACCUGAGAGGGUGAUCGGCCACACUGGAACUGAGACACGGUCCAGACUCCUACGGGAGGCAGCAGUAGGGAAUCUUCCGCAAUGGGCGAAAGCCUGACGGAGCAACGCCGCGUGAGUGAUGAAGGUCUUCGGAUCGUAACACUCUGUUAUUAGGGAAGAACAAAUGUGUCAGUAACUAUGCACGUCUUGACGGUACCUAAUCAGAAAGCCA
Molecule: ribosomal RNA, 511 nt
Filed under: Staphylococcus epidermidis
Lineage: Bacteria; Bacillati; Bacillota; Bacilli; Caryophanales; Staphylococcaceae
Description: bacterial SSU rRNA
Rfam family: Bacterial small subunit ribosomal RNA
Source: RNAcentral